GCUCAGCAAGCAGCUUGGCUUCCUGCUGGCCCUGCUCAGUCUCCAGCGUCUCCACCCUGGCUUGGAGCUGUGUGUUGUUUGCAGCAAGAGUGGCUGCCUCUUGUUUCAGGGUUUCCAGCUGGUGGUAUAAAGAGAUAAACUGGGAUCAGCAUGACUCCUCAGUCACCAAGCCUCCUCUGGAAAUGGAAGAACACCAGGAACCCAAAGCACACUAUCAAACCUUGAAGAGAAAGCAGCUUACUACCCAAAGGCCCAGAAGAGCACAGUGGUAAACUGGACUCAGCUUUGCAUGUGUGGUCAAGACUGUGGCUGUGACCCCAGCAGAGGGUUACCUUAUCCUGCAGGGCUGUGCUGAGCUCCUUCUCCAGCUGGGCCUGCUUCUCCAGCCACUCCUGAGUGGCCCUGCUGUGCUCCUCUGUCAGCUCAUUGAGGGCAUCCUGUAGCUGCUGCAGGUGACUGGCAAACUCCCGCAGCUGAGAUGGGCGAGUGAGAAUCCCCAUCACCCAGGGUCAACGCUGACCCUACCACUGCUGUCUGCUCCCUGAACCCCAGGGGCUGGAUGCCUCCAAUUAUCCUGCCAACCCUCCACAAACCAAUCACAGCCAUCACACCUCUAAUUCAGGACCACAAAUCAAACUUUAGGAUCACAACUCAGUACCUGGGAAGCAGCCAAUUAUGGGACAAGGAAAGGGGCAAAAUAUGCAGGUCUCUGGAGAGACUGGAGCGUAAGACAGGUGCUGGGACAUUCUUCUCAACCCUCUCUUGGGGAGCCUUCCAGACCGCCUCAGCCCUGAGGGGCCUCCAUGCACACACCACCUUAACACCCACCUUAAAGGAAAGGUCUCCAUUCUCCUCCAAAAGCUGGCUGAUCUUGCGAUCCAUCUGGCUCUUCUCUGUCUUCAGGUCCUGGCACUGCUUCAGGGUUUCAUGCAGCCGCAUGGUAAGGCUGCGAGGGAGGGAAGCAGCGAGAAGAGGGUAUGGAUGGGCCCCUGGCUGGGUGCACGCAGGGGCUGGAGCCUGGGAAGGAAUGCAGGGAGAGCUGUACCUCUCAUUCUUGUCACGUAGCUCCUCAAGCUCCCUGGGCUCCAGUGGGCUGGCUGCCUGCUUCUCAUUCAGCAGGGCUAGGCGGUCAAUGCGCUGCUGCAUCAUGGCUAUCUGUGCAUCUGCCCAGAGUGGAGGGAGGAGGAGAGGAGAAUCAGCACAGAACUAUGUGCAGGAGGGGAAGGGAGGAGGUGGCAUAGGGAGGAGGAGGCAUACGGAGGAGGAGGAAUAUGGUAUCCAAUCUAAGGGAAAGAGAAGAUGGGGACAAAGACAGAACCCAACUUCCAGGAGGUCAGCUUGACCACAGGCCCAGGGCUGAGCUCUAAGCUCCAGGGGCCAGCAGAGGGGACAACAUGGGAGGCCAAGGGGACAUCCUUCUGGCAAGUCUAUUCACACAUCUGCCAGCAUGCCAGCCACCUACCCUUCUCGGUGAGGAGCUUGCGGUUCUCAGCCAGCUCCAGCUCCAGCUCAUCCCUAUUACUUCUCUCAUCGGCAAGCUGCUUCUUCAGCCGUCUCAUCUGGAACUGUGGGGUCUGCAGGAUAUCGCCCAUGGGAGAAGCUGGAGAACCUGAGAGAAAGCUGAGGAGGGAGAAGGCCCAGUUGCAUUGAGCCAGCUCCUGAAUUCUGGACUCACAUUUCCAACAUCUCCACCUGAAGGUCUCAUGAGGAACCUGAAUACAAGGAACAUCAAACUCAAUGGCUAGAACUCGCCUGGACCUCCUUCUUACACUCCUAUCAUCCACCAGCUGACCUCUUCAUCAGAAGACCAGCAGAACGAUCACUCUUUCUACUGUAGCACCAGCCGAGACCGUUGAUAUAUUCCGUACUUAGAUUCCUUAUCAUAUUUCCUGGUUUACGUAUCUGCCUUUCCACCUAGAACAUGUGCUACAUGAUGGGAAAAACGUUUUUUAAAAGACUGUGGGCUGGGUGCAGUGGCUCAUGCCUGUAAUCCUAACACUUUGGGAGGCUGAGACAGGUAGAUCACCUGAUGUCAGGAGU
Piliocolobus tephrosceles (Ugandan red Colobus) is the source of this 2040-nucleotide long non-coding RNA. RefSeq lists it as uncharacterized. The transcript is spliced from 3 exons. The record is from RefSeq and is a predicted model, not a curated record. Lineage: Eukaryota; Metazoa; Chordata; Mammalia; Primates; Cercopithecidae.